GAAAUGCGAUAAGUAAUGUGAAUUGCAGAAUUCAGUGAAUCAUCGAAUCUUUGAACGCACCUUGCGCUCCUUGGUAUUCCGGGGGGCAUGCCUGUCCGAGCGUCAUUGCUGCCCUUCAAGCCCGGCUUGUGUGUUGGGUCGUCGUCCCCUCCGGGGGACGGGCCCGAAAGGCAGCGGCGGCACCGCGUCCGGUCCUCGAGCGUAUGGGGCUUUGUCACCCGCUCGAUAAGGACCGGCCGGGCGCCAGCCGGCGUCUCCAACCUUUUUUUCUCAGGUUGACCUCGGAUCAGGUAGGGAUACCCGCUGAACUUAAGC
RNAcentral lists this unclassified non-coding RNA (315 nucleotides) under plant metagenome. RNAcentral describes it as "partial contains 5.8S ribosomal RNA, internal transcribed spacer 2, and large subunit ribosomal RNA". The stretch from base 1 to 105 matches the Rfam family "5.8S ribosomal RNA", at positions 50 to 154 of the family's 154-position model. The record is from RNAcentral.